UACAAACUCCAACCCUUUUAGUAUAAACAAAAAAAAAAUGCUACCCACUUCUAUAAGAGUCCACGAAACCGGAUCCGCAAGAACCGAAGGAUUUUACAAGCUUACUGCAACCGAAAAAUCCUUCUUUGCCCCUAAAAACUCCUUUUUUGUUUCCCAACAAACUUUAUUAAGCGGCGGGCCCGUUUAUCAAUCGAAUCGAGACGUUCGAGCUUUAACAAGAACUAUUGGCGCUUCUUCAGAGCAUGUUGAGUGGUCGAGCAAAAGGAAGAAAAAAUUGCGAUUUGGACGGUCAACUAUUCAUGGGACUGGCUUGUUUGCUUUAGAAGUUAUUGAACCUAAUGAGUUUGUUCUGGAAUAUACUGGAGAAAUUAUAAGGAAAAUUGUAGCCACUAAGCGGGAGGCUUUGUA
This is a long non-coding RNA of Zophobas morio, 408 nucleotides long. RefSeq lists it as uncharacterized. Lineage: Eukaryota; Metazoa; Arthropoda; Insecta; Coleoptera; Tenebrionidae. The record is from RefSeq and is a predicted model, not a curated record. The transcript has 5 exons.